AGCAGAGCCCUGACCUGCAGAUCCAACGCGGCAGGUUUGGGUUGGUGGCUGAAUGCCUUCGUGUUAGGAACGGAUGCUUUGCAACCCAAAGCAGUUGGUAUUGCUUUGUGAUCCGUGUUGGAUGCCCAUCCCUGUGCUCCCAGCGCCCGUGCUGCCCGCGUGCUUUUAGAUGCUGAAGUCUGGCCGAAGGGCUUCAUCAAGAGCGAUUUUUCCUUGUCUGCUUGCUGUUGUGGUAAAUAAUCAAGGAGAUAACAGUACUGAAGAAUUUAGCUUAAGGAGUCUAAUUCGAUGCUUUGGGACUUUUCGCACCUGGGAUUAUGCAUGGGAAAAGAAGGAAAACCCCACGGUGCUGCCCCUCUGCGACACUCCCAGCAGCCUUCAUCCUGCUUUCCUGACCCAGAGCUUGAGGUGCAGCGUGGUUCCAUGUGAGCUGGCUUUUAAAUGGGGGAUGUCAUCACAUCACUGCCACGUGCUUUCCCUGGCUGGCUGUUGCUGCCCCAUAAUGUGAUGCUGGGGCACCAGCAAAGCCCCCCAGCAUGAAGUGGGACACAGCAGGGGCUGCUUCCUGCACUGUUUGUUUUGGUUGCUGAGUGAUGACAAGCGAGCAAACAAGAUCUGCGUUUCACAUCUGCUCCCGAGACUCUUCUUACUCUCUAGCCACCUCCCUCCUCAUAAAGCUGCACAUCGGUUUUGAGAUGCCUGACAAGAGACC
Lagopus leucura (white-tailed ptarmigan) is the source of this 712-nucleotide long non-coding RNA. RefSeq lists it as uncharacterized. NCBI's taxonomy places the organism in Eukaryota, Metazoa, Chordata, Aves, Galliformes, Phasianidae. The transcript is spliced from 5 exons. The record is from RefSeq and is a predicted model, not a curated record.